AUCAAGAUGUAGAACUCUUAACUACCUCUCUAGCACCAUGUCUGCCUGCACAUUGCCAUGUCCCACCAUGAUGAUAAUGGACUGAACUUCUGAACUGUAAGCAACCACAAUGAAAUGUUUUCUUUUAUAAGAAUUGCCUUGGCCAUGGUAUCUCUUCACAGCAACAGAAACCCCAACUAAGAAACCAGAUAAAAUGGAACUGUGAGCCAUAGAGUACCAUUAUCAUGGGUUUUCAUCAUGCUCUCUGAGGCAGACACGAUGAAGCUCCGACCCAGGAUGGAUACAGGCUAGAAUCUUCCCGGUGAUGGAUUAUGUGGCUCUGCUCUCCCCCUUUCCCCCACCAUGAUGCACCACUCCUGGCCCCAAGAAAAGAAGCUUUAUGGAACAGAGGAAGCAGAAGAAGUGAAAAAGAGGAAGGGCAUUCUAUCUGAGGACACAGCGGAUGCAUUUCUAUAUUUGCACAGAUGUCGUAAGGAGAAACACUGAAUUCCUACCGAUUUAUAAGCUACUGGGAAGUAUGUGGUAUUCUCAGUUGAAACUUUAUGCAGUGUUCCUGUUCUAUGCUAUGUGCUCUUGACAAUUUAUUCACAAGUCCACUGUGUGAAGU
Alexandromys fortis (reed vole) is the source of this 607-nucleotide long non-coding RNA. RefSeq lists it as uncharacterized. The record is from RefSeq and is a predicted model, not a curated record. The transcript is spliced from 4 exons. NCBI's taxonomy places the organism in Eukaryota, Metazoa, Chordata, Mammalia, Rodentia, Cricetidae.